RNAcentral lists this unclassified non-coding RNA (332 nucleotides) under soil metagenome. RNAcentral describes it as "partial contains 5.8S ribosomal RNA, internal transcribed spacer 2, and large subunit ribosomal RNA". The stretch from base 1 to 120 matches the Rfam family "5.8S ribosomal RNA", at positions 35 to 154 of the family's 154-position model. The record is from RNAcentral.
GAUGAAGAACGUAGCGAAAUGCGAUAAGUAGUGUGAAUUGCAGAAUUCAGUGAAUCAUCGAAUCUUUGAACGCACAUUGCGCCCCUUGGUAUUCCAUGGGGCAUGCCUGUUCGAGCGUCAUUUGUACCUUCAAGCUUUGCUUGGUGUUGGGUGUUUGUCUCGCCUUUGCGUGUAGACUCGCCUUAAAAUAAUUGGCAGCCAGUGUUUGGUUUUGAAGCGCAGCACAAGUCGCGAUUCAAGGCUAUACACCAGCUUCCACAAGCCUUUUUCACUUUUGACCUCGGAUCAGGUAGGGAUACCCGCUGAACUUAAGCAUAUCAAUAAGCGGAGGA